GAAUUCAAACAAGCGUUAUUUGACGAUUCGAACAAUGUAAACGGAAAUAAAUUAAGGACAUACCGUUUAUACAAAACAAACGUUAAAACUGAGCGAUACCUUAAGCUACAACUCCCCAAAAAUGUGCGUCGAACUGUUACCCUGUUCCGUAACGGGUCUCUGCCGUUGGCGAUCGAGACAGGACGAUAUGCCCGACCGCGAACACCAGUAGAUGAAAGACUAUGCCGACUAUGUAAUAGCAACGAUGUUGAAAGUGAAAAACAUUUUUUGUUGUUUUGCCCAUUAUAUGACGAUAUUAGAUUUGAAUUGUUUGUUAAAGCUAGAACUUUAAUUGAUAGCUUCGAUACUAUGG
Molecule: long non-coding RNA, 352 nt
Filed under: Mytilus galloprovincialis (Mediterranean mussel)
Lineage: Eukaryota; Metazoa; Mollusca; Bivalvia; Mytilida; Mytilidae
Source: RNAcentral